RNAcentral lists this ribosomal RNA (506 nucleotides) under uncultured Pseudomonadota bacterium. RNAcentral describes it as "bacterial SSU rRNA". It matches the Rfam family "Bacterial small subunit ribosomal RNA", at positions 355 to 879 of the family's 1533-position model. The record is from RNAcentral. Lineage: Bacteria; Pseudomonadati; Pseudomonadota.
UGGGGAAUAUUGGACAAUGGGCGAAAGCCUGAUCCAGCAAUGCCGCGUGAGUGAUGAAGGCCUUAGGGUUGUAAAGCUCUUUUACCCGGGAUGAUAAUGACAGUACCGGGAGAAUAAGCUCCGGCUAACUCCGUGCCAGCAGCCGCGGUAAUACGGAGGGAGCUAGCGUUGUUCGGAAUUACUGGGCGUAAAGCGUACGUAGGCGGUUACUCAAGUCAGAGGUGAAAGCCCGGGGCUCAACCCGGAACUGCCUUUGAAACUAGGUAGCUAGAAUCUUGGAGAGGUCAGUGGAAUUCCGAGUGUAGAGGUGAAAUUCGUAGAUAUUCGGAAGAACACCAGUGGCGAAGGCGACUGACUGGACAAGUAUUGACGCUGAGGUACGAAAGCGUGGGGAGCAAACAGGAUUAGAUACCCUGGUAGUCCACGCCGUAAACGAUGAUAACUAGCUGUCCGGGCACUUGGUGCUUGGGUGGCGCAGCUAACGCAUUAAGUUAUCCGCCUGGGGA